Molecule: non-coding RNA, 94 nt
Filed under: uncultured Emergencia sp.
Lineage: Bacteria; Bacillati; Bacillota; Clostridia; Peptostreptococcales; Anaerovoracaceae
Description: pemK RNA
Rfam family: pemK RNA
Source: RNAcentral
ACAAUGAUACUCCCGUCCAGUCACAGCCCUGUUAACCAGGAACACGCAAUGAGGGCGGCUCUGUGUGAACCACAGCUGGGGUUAGAUUCCCGUG